GGGAACUUAAGAUACUGAGUGCCUGUUUCCAGGUUUUGUUUAGGGGCAAAUGGCAGAAUCAAGACCAGAACUGUCACUCUCAGCUUAAGUUCUGACUUUUUGGUUGGUGUUGGUUGGAACUCAGAGUCUAGCAUGGGUUUUUUAAUUACAUAAAAUAAAGACUGUGAAGCUACCUUCUUGUUUUACAUCCAGAUCCUUUCCUGAGUCUCUCUGUUUUGGGCUAGUUCAUAAUUGAGCUUCCUUGAUAUUGAGUCAUUUGGGAAUUGGGAAUGACAUAAGCCACUCAUCUUAUUACUGUUGGUCUCUCACCAGUCCACAUUUUAGAGAUAUCUAGGUCCCUGAGAGAAUCCCAAAUAUUAUUUCAGUUCUCCUGUAGCUCAUGAAGCCAUAAAUAUUUCACCUCACCCAGGAGAAUCAAAGCAUUUUCACAUUGGUUCUUACUGGGGAGUUGAGAUAUGGGUAAGUAAUAGGAGUCCCAUUCCUGCUUUGGCUGGGGUUCGGGUCUCCAAUUUCACUGCCAGUGUGUCUCUAAAUCUACACAGUGGGACAGUGGCUACAGCAGACAUCACUCAGCUCCCCACUCCUGACUUGAGACCUUCCACUAGUUGCCCCUUCCCCUAAAAACAGAGUGAUGUCAUAAUGGUAUCAGAAUGGCACUUGCUGAUAACAACACAGAAAUAACAAGGGCAGACUUUCUGCAGUGUCUCCUGAGCAAUUGGUUGUCAUUGUCCUAAACAGAGCAGCUAGGUUAAAAAGAUUUAUCCAUAAUGUAACCUCCUGGCCCUCAGCUAUGGGUGGAAGCAGCACUUUCUGGUUUGACCUCCUAAUACCACAAACUCCACUUUGCCAGAAAAGUGACUUCUUGAUGAAUAGUCUGUUCAGAUAGGCCAAUUUGGAGUAUAUUCAUAUUUGGCCACCUGCUGGAGCGUCAAUGACCAAGAGGAGACCAGAUGAGUUUUCAAAGCAGUCCUCAAACACCCAGGACACACCUCAUCCUUUACCUCGUGCUUUCUGCAAUGUUGCUGUUCAUGUUCAUCUUCCUAUUAACAUUUGCCAUAAUAACCCCUCAUUGACCACCAUCAUUCCUCCAUCCACCACCAACUCAGCUCCUUCUCUAAAGUGCCCUCUAAUGGGCAGUGGCUUUGGUCUCUGUUUGGCAAAUUAUGUCCAGAGGGUUAACAUUAAUUUCUCUUUCUCCUAUUCCUCCCUCAUGCUAGAUUCAGUCCAUCACUCAGCCUCCUGUCAGGAAAACCAUAGCAAAUCCUACUUUCUGCUAAAAUGAAGUUACAAGACACUUUUCCAGAGUAGUCACACUCAAUGAAGGGACCCAGGGUGUAUCUGAGUGUGAUGUAAUUGAAACCACAUGGAAAGACUAGAAAUACCUUGCUCCCAGUCAGAUAUAGUGAAACAGCUUACUCAAGACUGGACUAAGAUUUAGAAUAUAGGGGGGCUAGGGAGGAGAAAGAGAAAGAUCCUCAGAAGUGGAUUGUCCCUGAAUACAGGAUGAAAUCAUCUAGAUUUUUUUCUCCAAUUAAAUUUGCAUUUCAUUCAACCACAUUGCAAUGGCUUCAUACUGGGCAUUUUCAUUUGAGACCCAAGGCUUUUCUUCAUGGGUCCUGAGCCACAGGUUCCUGGAUGGUGAGGUGAAUAGACUGUUGAGACUAUUUUGAGUUGUUG
RNAcentral lists this long non-coding RNA (1677 nucleotides) under Homo sapiens (human). RNAcentral's name for it is "HSALNT0362470". Lineage: Eukaryota; Metazoa; Chordata; Mammalia; Primates; Hominidae. The record is from RNAcentral.